Molecule: ribosomal RNA, 159 nt
Filed under: Melanelixia fuliginosa
Lineage: Eukaryota; Fungi; Ascomycota; Lecanoromycetes; Lecanorales; Parmeliaceae
Description: 5.8S ribosomal RNA
Rfam family: 5.8S ribosomal RNA
About the family: 5.8S ribosomal RNA (5.8S rRNA) is a component of the large subunit of the eukaryotic ribosome. It is transcribed by RNA polymerase I as part of the 45S precursor that also contains 18S and 28S rRNA. Functionally, it is thought that 5.8S rRNA may be involved in ribosome translocation.
Source: RNAcentral
AAAACUUUCAACAACGGAUCUCUUGGUUCCAGCAUCGAUGAAGAACGCAGCGAAAUGCGAUAACUAAUGUGAAUUGCAGAAUUCAGUGAAUCAUCGAGUCUUUGAACGCACAUUGCGCCCCUCGGUAUUCCGGGGGGUAUGCCUGUUCGAGCGUCAUUA